Molecule: ribosomal RNA, 253 nt
Filed under: uncultured bacterium
Lineage: Bacteria
Description: partial 16S ribosomal RNA
Rfam family: Bacterial small subunit ribosomal RNA
Source: RNAcentral
UACGAAGGGGGCUAGCGUUGUUCGGAAUUACUGGGCGUAAAGCGCGCGCAGGCGGUUUUCCAAGUCAGUGGUGAAAGCCCGGAGCUCAACUCCGGAACUGCCAUUGAAACUGUUGAACUUGAGGACGAGAGAGGUGAGUGGAAUUCCCAGUGUAGAGGUGAAAUUCGUAGAUAUUGGGAAGAACACCAGUGGCGAAGGCGGCUCACUGGCUCGUUUCUGACGCUCAGGCGCGAUAGCGUGGGGAUCAAACAGG